This 423-nucleotide ribosomal RNA is filed under the name uncultured bacterium. RNAcentral's name for it is "bacterial SSU rRNA". It matches the Rfam family "Bacterial small subunit ribosomal RNA", at positions 362 to 776 of the family's 1533-position model. The record is from RNAcentral.
UAUUGGACAAUGGGCGCAAGCCUGAUCCAGCCAUGCCGCGUGUGUGAAGAAGGCCUUAUGGUUGUAAAGCACUUUAAGCGAGGAGGAGGCUACUUUAGUUAAUACCUAGAGAUAGUGGACGUUACUCGCAGAAUAAGCACCGGCUAACUCUGUGCCAGCAGCCGCGGUAAUACAGAGGGUGCAAGCGUUAAUCGGAUUUACUGGGCGUCAAGCGCGCGUAGGCGGCUAAUUAAGUCAAAUGGGAAAUCCCCGAGCUUAACUUGGGAAUUGCAUUCGAUACUGGUUAGCUAGAGUGUGGGAGAGGAUGGUAGAAUUCCAGGUGUAGCGGUGAAAUGCGUAGAGAUCUGGAGGAAUACCGAUGGCGAAGGCAGCCAUCUGGCCUAACACUGACGCUGAGGUGCGAAAGCAUGGGGAGCAAACAGG